RNAcentral lists this ribosomal RNA (253 nucleotides) under uncultured bacterium. RNAcentral's name for it is "partial 16S ribosomal RNA". It matches the Rfam family "Bacterial small subunit ribosomal RNA", at positions 524 to 776 of the family's 1533-position model. The record is from RNAcentral.
UACGUAGGCAGCAAGCGUUGUUCGGAAUUAUUGGGCGUAAAGCGCUGGUAGGUGGCUUGUUAAGUCGCGUGUGAAAUCUCCAGGCUCAACUUGGAAAGUGCGCGCGAAACUGGCGAGCUUGAGUGCCGGAGAGGGUCGCGGAAUUCCCGGUGUAGAGGUGAAAUUCGUAGAUAUCGGGAGGAACACCAGAGGCGAAGGCGGCGACCUGGAAGGUAACUGACACUGAGCAGCGAAAGCGUGGGGAGCAAACAGG